UACGGAGGAGGCAAGCGGUAUCCGGUAUUAUUGGGCGUAAAGCGUCCGUAGGUGGUUGGCCAAGUCUGCUGUCAAAGGGUGGGGCUUAACCUCAUAAAGGCAGUGGAAACUGGCGAGCUAGAGUGCGGUAGGGGUAGGGGGAAUUCCCAGUGUAGCGGUGAAAUGCGUAGAGACUGGGAAGAACAUCGGUGGCGAAAGCGCCCUGCUGGGCCUGCACUGACACUGAGGGACGAAAGCUAGGGGAGCGAAUGGG
Molecule: ribosomal RNA, 253 nt
Filed under: uncultured bacterium
Lineage: Bacteria
Description: partial 16S ribosomal RNA
Rfam family: Bacterial small subunit ribosomal RNA
Source: RNAcentral